RNAcentral lists this ribosomal RNA (1580 nucleotides) under Enterococcus faecalis. Its description in RNAcentral is "partial 23S ribosomal RNA". It matches the Rfam family "Bacterial large subunit ribosomal RNA", at positions 1 to 1573 of the family's 2925-position model. The record is from RNAcentral. Lineage: Bacteria; Bacillati; Bacillota; Bacilli; Lactobacillales; Enterococcaceae.
GUUGAUAAGGUUAAGUGAAUAAGGGCGCACGGUGGAUGCCUUGGCACUAGGAGCCGAUGAAGGACGGGACUAACACCGAUAUGCUUUGGGGAGCUGUAAGUAAGCUAUGAUCCAGAGAUUUCCGAAUGGGGGAACCCAAUAUCUUUUAUAGGAUAUUACUUUUCAGUGAAUACAUAGCUGAUUAGAGGUAGACGCAGAGAACUGAAACAUCUUAGUACCUGCAGGAAGAGAAAGAAAAUUCGAUUCCCUGAGUAGCGGCGAGCGAAACGGGAAGAGCCCAAACCAACAAGCUUGCUUGUUGGGGUUGUAGGACUCCAAUAUGGUAGUCUGUUAGUAUAGUUGAAGGAUUUGGAAAAUUCCGCUAAAGAGGGUGAAAGCCCCGUAGACGAAAUGCUGACAACACCUAGGAGGAUCCUGAGUACGGCGGAACACGAGAAAUUCCGUCGGAAUCCGCGGGGACCAUCCCGCAAGGCUAAAUACUCCCUAGUGACCGAUAGUGAACCAGUACCGUGAGGGAAAGGUGAAAAGCACCCCGGAAGGGGAGUGAAAUAGAUCCUGAAACCGUGUGCCUACAACAAGUCAAAGCUCGUUAAUGAGUGAUGGCGUGCCUUUUGUAGAAUGAACCGGCGAGUUACGAUUGCAUGCGAGGUUAAGUCGAAGAGACGGAGCCGCAGCGAAAGCGAGUCUGAAUAGGGCGAAUGAGUAUGUAGUCGUAGACCCGAAACCAUGUGAUCUACCCAUGUCCAGGUUGAAGGUGCGGUAAAACGCACUGGAGGACCGAACCCACGUACGUUGAAAAGUGCGGGGAUGAGGUGUGGGUAGCGGAGAAAUUCCAAACGAACUUGGAGAUAGCUGGUUCUCUCCGAAAUAGCUUUAGGGCUAGCCUCGGAAUUGAGAAUGAUGGAGGUAGAGCACUGUUUGGACUAGGGGCCCAUCUCGGGUUACCGAAUUCAGAUAAACUCCGAAUGCCAUUCAUUUAUAUCCGGGAGUCAGACUGCGAGUGAUAAGAUCCGUAGUCGAAAGGGAAACAGCCCAGACCACCAGCUAAGGUCCCAAAAUAUAUGUUAAGUGGAAAAGGAUGUGGGGUUGCACAGACAACUAGGAUGUUGGCUUAGAAGCAGCCACCAUUUAAAGAGUGCGUAAUAGCUCACUAGUCGAGUGACCCUGCGCCGAAAAUGUACCGGGGCUAAACAUAUUACCGAAGCUGUGGACUACACCAUUAGGUGUAGUGGUAGGAGAGCGUUCUAAGGGCGUUGAAGGUCGAUCGUGAGGACGGCUGGAGCGCUUAGAAGUGAGAAUGCCGGUAUGAGUAGCGAAAGACAGGUGAGAAUCCUGUCCACCGUAUGACUAAGGUUUCCUGGGGAAGGCUCGUCCGCCCAGGGUUAGUCGGGACCUAAGCCGAGGCCGAUAGGCGUAGGCGAUGGACAACAGGUUGAUAUUCCUGUACCAGUUGUUUUUGUUUGAGCAAUGGAGGGACGCAGUAGGCUAAGGAAUGCAUGCGAUUGGAAGUGCAUGUCCAAGCAAUGAGUCUUGAGUAGAGUUAAAUGCUUUACUCUUUAAGGACAAGUUGUGACGGGGAG